RNAcentral lists this ribosomal RNA (480 nucleotides) under Salinibacterium sp. Its description in RNAcentral is "bacterial SSU rRNA". It matches the Rfam family "Bacterial small subunit ribosomal RNA", at positions 279 to 771 of the family's 1533-position model. The record is from RNAcentral. Lineage: Bacteria; Bacillati; Actinomycetota; Actinomycetes; Micrococcales; Microbacteriaceae.
ACGGGUAGCCGGCCUGAGAGGGUGACCGGCCACACUGGGACUGAGACACGGCCCAGACUCCUACGGGAGGCAGCAGUGGGGAAUAUUGCACAAUGGGCGAAAGCCUGAUGCAGCAACGCCGCGUGAGGGAUGACGGCCUUCGGGUUGUAAACCUCUUUUAGUAGGGAAGAAGCGAAAGUGACGGUACCUGCAGAAAAAGCACCGGCUAACUACGUGCCAGCAGCCGCGGUAAUACGUAGGGUGCAAGCGUUGUCCGGAAUUAUUGGGCGUAAAGAGCUCGUAGGCGGUUUGUCGCGUCUGCUGUGAAAUCUGGGGGCUCAACCCCCAGCCUGCAGUGGGUACGGGCAGACUAGAGUGCGGUAGGGGAGAUUGGAAUUCCUGGUGUAGCGGUGGAAUGCGCAGAUAUCAGGAGGAACACCGAUGGCGAAGGCAGAUCUCUGGGCCGUAACUGACGCUGAGGAGCGAAAGCGUGGGGAGCGA